CCGGAUUGUGCUAAGAGAUACGAUGGCUUCAUUUUAGUCCACUCCAAAGUUAGCUGCUGCUCUUUGGAUGGAGUCUUACGCCCAGAGACAUGAUGAUUGAAGCUGGAGCUUUAUCCUGGAACAACCACCUGUUGGACGUAGUGAAGAUGGCUGGGUGACAAGACAAAGGGGCCUGAGCCCCUGCUGGAUAUGUCAAUCUGGAUUAUUCAGGUAUCCAGAGAGACAUUCAUGAACUCAAGCUUGAAGUUAUCCCAUUUGGGGGAGAGAAAAAGAACAGAAGAGAAAUCUGGUUGGCAUGAGGAAGUAAGGGUCAUCUGUGUGUUAUCUGUUUAUCUUCUACCUGGCCAUCUAUCUAUCAUCCGUUGUUGGAGAAAGAGCAAGUUACUACUUUUUCAUGGGGGUAAAAAAAGGAAACACUGUUCUCUACUCUUGGCGGAGCCUGGGACUACUUGUUUUAAA
Molecule: long non-coding RNA, 459 nt
Organism: Leopardus geoffroyi (Geoffroy's cat)
Lineage: Eukaryota; Metazoa; Chordata; Mammalia; Carnivora; Felidae
Exons: 3
Source: RefSeq, a predicted model, not a curated record